AGAGUUUGAUCCUGGCUCAGGACGAACGCUGGCGGCGUGCCUGACCCAUGCAAGUCGAACGAGGGUGCAGCAAUGCACUCAAGUGGCGGACGGGUGAGUAACACGUGACCAACCUGCCUUUGACAGGGGGAUAACGUCUGGAAACGGACGCUAAUACCGCAUGAGACCACACUAUUGCAUAAUAGAGGGGUCAAGGGAGUAACAUCCGGUCAAAGAGGGGUUCGCGUCCCAUUAGGUAGUUGGUGAGGUAACGGCCCACCAAGCCGACGAUGGGUAGCCGAGCUGAGAGGCUGAACGGCCACACUGGAACUGAGAUACGGUCCAGACUCCUACGGGAGGCAGCAGGGAGGAAUAUUGGGCAAUGGGGGAAACCCUGACCCAGCAACGCCGCGUGAAGGAAGAAGGCCUUCGGGUUGUAAACUUCUGUGACAGGGGACGAAAAAAAUGACGGUACCCUGAGAGGAAGCCACGGCAAACUACGUGCCAGCAGCCGCGGUAAUACGUAGGUGGCGAGCGUUGUCCGGAAUCACUGGGCGUAAAGGGCGCGUAGGCGGCGAUACAAGUCGCAUGUGAAAUUCCAGGGCUCAACCCUGGGGGGUCAUGCGAAACUGAAUUGCUUGAGUGCAGUAGAGGGAAGCGGAAUUCCUGGUGUAGCGGUAAAAUGCGUAGAGAUCAGGAGGAACACCGGUGGCGAAGGCGGCUUCCUGGGCUGCAACUGACGCUGAGGCGCGAAAGCGUGGGGAGCAAACAGGAUUAGAUACCCUGGUAGUCCACGCGGUAAACGAUGAUUACUAGGUGUGGGUAUCGCAGGAUAUCCGUGCCGGAGCAAACGCAAUAAGUAAUCCGCCUGGGGAGUACGGCCGCAAGGUUGAAACUUAAAGGAAUUGACGG
Molecule: ribosomal RNA, 891 nt
Filed under: uncultured Clostridia bacterium
Lineage: Bacteria; Bacillati; Bacillota; Clostridia
Description: SSU rRNA
Rfam family: Bacterial small subunit ribosomal RNA
Source: RNAcentral